This 467-nucleotide ribosomal RNA is filed under the name uncultured bacterium. RNAcentral's name for it is "bacterial SSU rRNA". It matches the Rfam family "Bacterial small subunit ribosomal RNA", at positions 32 to 507 of the family's 1533-position model. The record is from RNAcentral.
AAUCAACGCUGGCGGCGUGCCUCAGACAUGCAAGUCGAACGAUUAAAAGCUCUCUUCGGGAGAGUGUAUAGAGUGGCGCACGGGUGAGUAACACGUAAGUAAUCUACCCUCGAGUGGGGAAUAACAACCGGAAACGGUUGCUAAUACCGCAUAAUGCAGCGGCACCGCAAGGUGACAGUUGUUAAAGAUUUAUCGCUUGAGGAGGAGCUUGCGGCAGAUUAGCUAGUUGGUAGGGUAACGGCUUACCAAGGCUACGAUCUGUAACCGGUCUAAGAGGACGGUCGGUCACACUGACACUGAAUAACGGGUCAGACUCCUACGGGAGGCAGCAGUCGGGAAUUUUGGGCAAUGGGCGAAAGCCUGACCCAGCAACGCCGCGUGAAGGAUGAAGUAUUUCGGUAUGUAAACUUCGAAAGAAUAGGAAGAAUUAAUGACGGUACUAUUUAUAAGGUCCGGCUAACUACGUG